RNAcentral lists this transfer RNA (72 nucleotides) under Lasiognathus sp. NMMBP 9030. RNAcentral's name for it is "tRNA-Val". It matches the Rfam family "tRNA". Rfam says of the family: Transfer RNA (tRNA) molecules are approximately 80 nucleotides in length. RNAcentral also lists the same sequence under 1 other name. Lineage: Eukaryota; Metazoa; Chordata; Actinopteri; Lophiiformes; Thaumatichthyidae. The record is from RNAcentral.
CAGAGCAUAGCUAAGACAGCAAAGCAUCUCCCUUACACCGAGAAGUCGCCCGUGCAAAUCAGGCUGCCCUGA